GGGCUUGACAUCCCACGAAUCUCGUCGAAAGACGGGAGUGCCCGCAAGGGAGCGCGGAGACAGGUGGUGCAUGGCUGUCGUCAGCUCGUGUCGUGAGAUGUUGGGUUAAGUCCCGCAACGAGCGCAACCCUCACCUCUUGUUGCCACCAGGUCAUGCUGGGCACUCUAGAGGAACUGCCCCGGUCAACGGGGAGGAAGGCGGGGAUGACGUCAAGUCAUCAUGCCCCUUACGUCCUGGGCUACACACGUGCUACAAUGGCCGGUACAAAGGGAUGCCACACCGCGAGGUAGAGCUAAACCCAAAAAGCCGGUCUAAGUUCAGAUUGGAGUCUGCAACUCGACUCCAUGAAGGAGGAAUCGCUAGUAAUCGCGUAUCAGCACGACGCGGUGAAUACGUUCCCGGGCCUUGUACACACCGCCCGUCACACCACGAAAGCCCGUUGUACUCGAAGUCGCUGAG
This 460-nucleotide ribosomal RNA is filed under the name uncultured Methylomirabilota bacterium. RNAcentral describes it as "bacterial SSU rRNA". It matches the Rfam family "Bacterial small subunit ribosomal RNA", at positions 977 to 1434 of the family's 1533-position model. The record is from RNAcentral. Lineage: Bacteria; Methylomirabilota (SeqCode).